GCUCCGUGCCAGCAGCCGCGGUAAUACGGAGGGUGCGAGCGUUAAUCGGAAUUACUGGGCGUAAAGGGUGCGUAGGUGGUUUAUUAAGUUAUCUGUGAAAUCCCCGGGCUCAACCUGGGAAGGUCAGAUAAGACUGUUUGACUCGAGUAUGGGAGAGGGUAGUGGAAUUUCCGGUGUAGCGGUGAAAUGCGUAGAGAUCGGAAGGAACACCAGUGGCGAAGGCGGCUACCUGGCCUGAUACUGACACUGAAGCACGAAAGCGUGGGGAGCAAACAGGAUUAAAUA
Molecule: ribosomal RNA, 285 nt
Filed under: uncultured Legionella sp.
Lineage: Bacteria; Pseudomonadati; Pseudomonadota; Gammaproteobacteria; Legionellales; Legionellaceae
Description: partial 16S ribosomal RNA
Rfam family: Bacterial small subunit ribosomal RNA
Source: RNAcentral